Molecule: ribosomal RNA, 411 nt
Filed under: uncultured bacterium
Lineage: Bacteria
Description: bacterial SSU rRNA
Rfam family: Bacterial small subunit ribosomal RNA
Source: RNAcentral
UAGCGGAGCGUGUGGUUUAAUUCGAUGCAACACAAAGAACCUUACCAAGGCUUGACAUGCUAGUAGUAGGAACCCGAAAGGGCAACGACCUGCCUUCGGGUAGGAGCUAGCACAGGUGCUACAUGGCUGUCGUCAGCUCGUGCCGUGAGGUGUUGGGUUAAGUCCCAUAACGAGCGCAACCCCUGUUCUGUGUUGAUUUCUCACAGGAGACUGCCCAGGAAUUCUGGGAGGAAGGUGGGGAUGACGUCAAGUCAGCAUGGCCUUUAUGCCUUGGGCUACACACACGCUACAAUGGGUGGUACAAAGGGCAGCUAAAGAGUGAUCUGGAGCUAAUCCCAGGAAGCCACCCCCAGUUCAGAUUGCAGGCUGAAACCCGCCUGCAUGAAGUUGGAGUUGCUAGUAACCGCAUAA